GCCAGGUGCGGUGAUGCACUCCUGUAAUCCCAGUGGCUCGGGAGGCUGAGGCAAGAGGAUGGCGAGUUCAAAGCCAGCCUCAGCAAUGAUGAGGUGCUACGCAACUCAGUGAGACCCUGUCUCUA
RNAcentral lists this small RNA (125 nucleotides) under Marmota monax (woodchuck). The record is from RNAcentral. Lineage: Eukaryota; Metazoa; Chordata; Mammalia; Rodentia; Sciuridae.